This 497-nucleotide ribosomal RNA is filed under the name uncultured bacterium. RNAcentral describes it as "partial 16S ribosomal RNA". It matches the Rfam family "Bacterial small subunit ribosomal RNA", at positions 28 to 507 of the family's 1533-position model. The record is from RNAcentral.
GAUGAACGCUGGCGGCGUGCCUAAUACAUGCAAGUCGAGCGAACGGACGAGAAGCUUGCUUCUCUGAUGUUAGCGGCGGACGGGUGAGUAACGCGUGGAUAACCUACCUAUAAGACUGGGAUAACUUCGGGAAACCGUAGCUAAUACCGGAUAAUAUUUUGAACCGCAUGGUUCAAAAGUGAAAGACGGUCUUGCUGUCACUUAUAGAUGGAUCCGCGCUGCAUUAGCUAGUUGGUAAGGUAACGGCUUACCAAGGCAACGAUGCAUAGCCGACCUGAGAGGGACAUUGGAUAGCUGGGAUGUGAGGCAGAGUCGCGACUCCGACGGGAGGAAGCAGUAGGGACUCUUCCGCGAUGCGCGAAAGCGUGACGGAGCAAAGCCGCGGGAGGGAUGAAGGUGCUCUGAUCGGAAAACGCUGUUAGUAGGGAGGAACAUAUGUGUAAGUAACUGUGCAGAUCAUGACGGUACCUAAUCAAAAAGCCACGGCUAACUACGUG